Molecule: long non-coding RNA, 436 nt
Organism: Taeniopygia guttata (zebra finch)
Lineage: Eukaryota; Metazoa; Chordata; Aves; Passeriformes; Estrildidae
Source: RefSeq, a predicted model, not a curated record
CGGCCGCGGGCCCGGGGAGGGGAGCGGAGGGGAGGCCGCCCGGGCACGGCAGGCCCCAGGCCGCGGAGCUUUUUCUAGGAAAGACAUUAAACUGCGCUGCCAACAGAGCUUAUAGCGUUGCCAGAGAAUUAUGCUAGUCGUUCUGGAUUUUACCUUCAGUCUUAAUACCUGGGAUUUUACCUUCAGUCUAACACCUGGGAUAUACCAUAGGCAGCUUUUGCCUACCUGAGCAUCAUCGCACAAGCAGAUGAGGUCCAUCUGCUCCACAAAGCCUUGGAUUGGAGCGAGACUGAAGGCACAGCGAGGCACCAACACACCAGCAGGAAGCAGAUGGCUGGCUCCAGAAAAGUUCAAGCCCAGUCCACACACAAUCCAGGUGCCAGAGUGGAGCCCACCACGCACGGCAGCACGUAAAUAAAUACCAGCGAACCAGGAA